UCUCCGUUGGUGAACCAGCGGAGGGAUCAUUACAGGACUCGCAAGACUCCUACAACCCUGUGAACUUAACUAUAAGCACGUUGCUUCGGCGGGUGUCUCGGAGGGGGUUCUCCCUCCCCGAGACGCUAAACCCGCCGGCAGCCUACUAUACUCUGUCUCUUUGCGUUGGCAUCUCGAGUACAAUCAAACAAGUUAAAACUUUCAACAACGGAUCUCUUGGUUCUGGCAUCGAUGAAGACGCAGC
Molecule: unclassified non-coding RNA, 244 nt
Filed under: plant metagenome
Description: partial contains small subunit ribosomal RNA, internal transcribed spacer 1, and 5.8S ribosomal RNA
Rfam family: 5.8S ribosomal RNA (bases 197-244)
Source: RNAcentral